GAGGAUUACGGUUCGAUUCCGCGAGAGGGAGCCUGAGAAACGGCUACCACAUCCAAGGAAGGCAGCAGGCGCGCAAAUUACCCAAUCCCGACACGGGGAGGUAGUGACAAUAAAUAACAAUACAGGGCUCUUUCGGGUCUUGUAAUUGGAAUGAGUACAAUUUAAAUCCCUUAACGAGGAACAAUUGGAGGGCAAGUCUGGUGCCAGCAGCCGCGGUAAAAAGCUCGUAGUUGAAUUUCGGGGUUCCACCGUUGGUCGGGCUAUUGUCUGUACUGGCGUGUGGAAUUUCUACCUUCUGGGGAACUAUCAUGUUAUUAAUUUAGCGUGGUAGGAAACCAGGACCUUUACCUUGAAAAAAUUAGAGUGUUCAAAGCAGGCUGACCGUUACUUUGGAAAAAAAAUAAUGUUGUGAGCAGGCUGACCCCUGAUUACUUUAUCAUGGAGUAAUAAUAAAAGACGACGGUGGUGCUAUUUGUUGUUUUCAAUCACCGUUGUGAUGAUUAAGAAGGAUAGGGGGGGGUAUUAGUAUUCUGUUGCAGGAGGUGAAAUUCUUGUAUUUGUUGAAGACUAACUACUGCUACAGCAUUUGCCGAUGAUGUUUUCAUUAAUCAAGAACGAUAGUUAGGGGAUCGAAGACGAUCACAUACCGUCGUAGUCUUAACCAUAAACUAUGCCUACUAGGAAUCGGAUGAUGAUGAUUUUUUGACUCUCNCGUCUCCUCCUGNACACANNGAGGUUGGGNGG
RNAcentral lists this ribosomal RNA (744 nucleotides) under Dentiscutata heterogama. Its description in RNAcentral is "bacterial SSU rRNA". It matches the Rfam family "Eukaryotic small subunit ribosomal RNA", at positions 365 to 1118 of the family's 1831-position model. The record is from RNAcentral. Lineage: Eukaryota; Fungi; Glomeromycota; Glomeromycetes; Diversisporales; Gigasporaceae.